This 427-nucleotide ribosomal RNA is filed under the name uncultured bacterium. RNAcentral describes it as "partial 16S ribosomal RNA". It matches the Rfam family "Bacterial small subunit ribosomal RNA", at positions 355 to 774 of the family's 1533-position model. The record is from RNAcentral.
UGGGGAAUAUUGCACAAUGGGCGCAAGCCUGAUGCAGCCAUGCCGCGUGUAUGAAGAAGGCCUUCGGGUUAUAAAGUACUUUCAGCGAGGAGGAAGGCGUUGUGGUUAAUAACCGCAGCGAUUGACGUUACUCGCAGAAGAAGCACCGGCUAACUCCGUGCCAGCAGCCGCGGUAAUACGGAGGGUGCAAGCGUUAAUCGGAAUUACUGGGCGUAAAGCGCACGCAGGCGGUCUGUCAAGUCGGAUGUGAAAUCCCCGGGCUCAACCUGGGAACUGCAUCCGAAACUGGCAGGCUAGAGUCUUGUAGAGGGGGGUAGAAUUCCAGGUGUAGCGGUGAAAUGCGUAGAGAUCUGGAGGAAUACCGGUGGCGAAGGCGGCCCCCUGGACAAAGACUGACGCUCAGGUGCGAAAGCGUGGGGAGCAAACA